RNAcentral lists this transfer RNA (69 nucleotides) under Scopelosaurus hoedti. RNAcentral describes it as "tRNA-Phe". RNAcentral also lists the same sequence under 1 other name. Lineage: Eukaryota; Metazoa; Chordata; Actinopteri; Aulopiformes; Notosudidae. The record is from RNAcentral.
GCUAACGUAGUUUACUAAAAAUAUGACUCUGAAGAAGUUAAGACAGACCCUGAGAAGGCCUCGUAAGCA